AUCUUCCAGUGAGCUAGGUUCACAGUGAAAACACUACCAAGCUUUGGGUACUCUUCACGAAGCAUUACAAUCGGGCCUUUCAAGAAGCGGAAUAACCCUCCAACCACUGGCCAACCGCUCACAACUGGAGGCAGACGUUUUCUAGAUCUAGGCAUAACAAAGGCGGAGAUAAGCUUGGCCACUAUUAGAGUGGCCACGAUGAGGACACCCAUAUU
Molecule: unclassified non-coding RNA, 215 nt
Filed under: Hevea brasiliensis (rubber tree)
Lineage: Eukaryota; Viridiplantae; Streptophyta; Magnoliopsida; Malpighiales; Euphorbiaceae
Source: RNAcentral